AGAGAAAGCCUGGCUUCCUUAACCAAUUGCAAUCAAAUAAUCCUGAAGCUGCCUAUGACCUGCAAGCCCCUUGCUUCAAGAGCUUCCACCUUUUUGGGCCAAACCAAGUUCCAUGAUGGAAAAUCUAAUGGCCACUUUCCAUUUACCACGUCCAAGGAGCAGUCCAGCCUUCCCUCCAUUUCCACAAUGAUCCCAAGUGUUUCACCAUUUGCUCCUCGAAGAACAUCUGGAUUUGUUUCUGGCUUUUGGCUAUGAGGAAUAAGCCUGCUGAGAAUAUUCAGCUCCAGGAUUUUGUGUGAAUGUAAGUGCUUUAGGGGUGGGGCGGGACCCUGCAGGCCAUCCCUCGGUUGGAUGAUUCUCUGGAGGGACCCAGAGAACUCCACCAAGCUGACCUAAGCCCCUGAAAGUCAAACAGAUACCAUAUGGCCCAAUGCCUGCAGCACAGCUCACUUGAUGGAAUAAACUGCCCAAGAAAAAUGGGGGUAAGUGAUUACAUUAUCAGAGGCAUCCCAGGUGAAUCCUGGAGACGUGGACGGUACCUGUAGUCAUGAAGCUGACAGCUGGAAGAAGCCUGUCUGGUUCAACCCCUGUCUGGCAUUUCCUUCCUUCUCCAUCCUCACUUUCUACCCCUCACAGGGACAGAUAAUUUAUAGCUUACCGAGCCAGGCCACUGCACUUUUGGACAACUCUACCAAAUGGAUUUUCUUCAUGCCAUUACAUAACUGCUACCUGCCACCAGAGCCUUAGAAAUGUAUGGUUUUCCAUCAAGCACUCAUGGAACACGUCACUGUGGGCACUUCUAGGGGGGUUCAUGAUGGAUCCUCCAAGAUCAACUAAAAAUUAAAACAAGCCCCAGGUAACAGAACCACUUCAAGUGUUAAAUAAAAUCA
Cercocebus atys (sooty mangabey) is the source of this 890-nucleotide long non-coding RNA. RefSeq lists it as uncharacterized. The transcript is spliced from 3 exons. The record is from RefSeq and is a predicted model, not a curated record. NCBI's taxonomy places the organism in Eukaryota, Metazoa, Chordata, Mammalia, Primates, Cercopithecidae.